This 253-nucleotide ribosomal RNA is filed under the name uncultured bacterium. RNAcentral describes it as "partial 16S ribosomal RNA". It matches the Rfam family "Bacterial small subunit ribosomal RNA", at positions 524 to 776 of the family's 1533-position model. The record is from RNAcentral.
UACGUAGGUGGCAAGCGUUGUCCGGAUUUACUGGGCGUAAAGCGUGCGCAGGCGGUUGUGUAAGACAGGUGUGAAAUCCCCGGGCUUAACCUGGGAACUGCAUUUGUGACUGCAUAGCUAGAGUACGGUAGAGGGGGAUGGAAUUCCGCGUGUAGCAGUGAAAUGCGUAGAUAUGCGGAGGAACACCGAUGGCGAAGGCAAUCCCCUGGACCUGUACUGACGCUCAUGCACGAAAGCGUGGGGAGCAAACAGG